CCAUGGAUACACCCUACAGAUGAGGUUCAUUACAGGCAGUAAACUGCUUAAGCUAUUUAAUUGAAAUGUGCUUUUUGCUGUAGUUAGGUAAUGACCUGUUGUUCUGAAUCAGCCACCCACAGGAAAUGAAACAGUUGAGUUAUCCACUUGGAGAUGGAGCCUUGAUGUCGCUAUCACCUUGGAGAUAAUACUGCAGUGGUCAGGGUGCAAGAAUAGGACAUCAUACUUUAGGGUUAAAUAAUUUUUGUGAAAGCACAGUAACUUUAGAAUAGGAGAACAUUCUGGUCAUGGCAUUGCACACCUGAGUUGUAGUAAUGCUUCUACUCACAGAAUGGUUAAAACUGGAAGAGAUUUCUGAAGAUCCUGUGUUUCAUUCCUCCUGCUCAAGCAGAGACAACUUGAGCAGGUUGCCCACGAACAUGUACAGGUGGCUUUUGAUGGUGUUAAAGGAAAAUGACUCCAUAGCUUCCCUGGGUAACCUAUGCCAGUGCUCCGUCACCUGCACAAUAAAGAAGUAGUUCCUGAUGUUUAUAUGGAAUGUCUUAUGUUCCAAUUUUUGCCCAUUGCCUCGUGUCCUGACACUGAAAAGAGCUUCACUCUAUCUUAAUUGCACACCGUCUCAAGAUAUUUUAUAAACAUUGAUAAGUUACCCCCAGAAACUCCUCCAGGCUGAAGAGUCCCAGCUCUCAGACUCUCUUCAUAGGAGGAGUGCUCGAUCAUCUUGGCAGUUAUGCUGAACAUUUUCCAGUACAUCCAGGUCUCUCCUGUACUGGGACCUCAGAACAGAAUUCCACAUGCAACCUCACCAAAGCAGAGGUGAAGGAUCACCUCUCUUGACCUGCUGACAAUACUUUGCCUAAUGCAAACAAGAAUACCACUAGCACUGUUAGUGACAAGGACUACUAUUAACCUCUAGGGUACUCCACUCAUUGUUGGCCUCUAAUAGAUUUUGCACCAGUGACCAUUUCUCUCUGCAUCUGGACAUUCAACUACACGUAGUUAAGCUCAUAUAUAAUCCUCUGUCAGGGAGAGUAAGCAGGGCCUUAUAAUGUUAGUAAGAACACUCAAUCAAAAAUACUUUUUACUCAUAGGUCCAGGGCUUCGAUGUGAAGCAUCUUUGCUUGUGAGUUCCAGGCCAUGAGGGACACCAAGGUAUAGACUCUGCUGAGCUCUGCUGAGGGUAGAACCCUGGCAGGAGCUUCUUGGGCUGCUGCAGACCAAGUCAGAGAAGAAGAGCUCACGUGGGCUAAGACACAACUUUCUUAACUGAUUUAAAUUUUAGACUCCAAUGUUCUAUUUUUUAUUAGCCCACAGAUUAUAUUAGUCCAUGUUAAAGAAAGGUCUUUGAAACAUAGAGGCUUAAACAAAUAUCUUUGAGAGAAAUGAAAGAUUUCCUUGGAUAUAUGUGCUUGUUUAGCUGAAUUUUACACAUGAAAUACACAUGCACUGGACUUGGUCUGCAAUGGUUUAUUGCCCAUCUUGGUCUGCAAUGGUUUAUACCUAUCUAGCAGCAAAAUGUUAUUGUUCAGUGAGAUUAUUCUGACUGAUAACCAGAGUUUUAAAAGCAAUAACAAGGAAUUAGUAUGUUAUUGUAGAAGAAAAGUUUUAACUUUGCAAGGCAGGAAAAUUCUUAUCUUGCAGAAAAGUCUAUACAUAAUUCUGCACCUGUCAAGAAACAAAUUCAAAAUUCAGUUGAUUUUAACAGUAAGCUUUCAGAUUUUGAAAAAGGGAUUUUGUUUUACUAAAUAUUUGUCUCAGAAAUAUGCAGCUAAAGAAGAAUUAAGGGAACAGUUUGUGUGUGUUGCUUCUCUGCACCAAACAGAAGAGCAUAUCUGCUUUACUUUUUCUCAAGGUUUCCUAUCACAAACAUUCAUUGUGUAAAGUGAGCUCUGACACUAGUUGUGUUCUUUCUGAUUAAUUUAGAUACUGUUAAUACUGCUAUUGUUGUUUUUAUGUAUAGCUUCUGUAUAUGAAGUCCUAUAAAUGUAUAGGACUGUGAAAAAAACAUGGGCCAUUUCUCUAUGGUUUAGUGUAUGAAAGGAAAUGGUCUCAUAUCUUUGUUAAGAAAAAAAUGUCAUUGAAAGCAAAUAAAAAACUAGAAUCUCUCACAAGGGGCACAUUUAAUUUUGGAAAUUAACAAGUGAAAGCCAAAAUUAUAUUUGAAAAUGCUCAGUUUAAUUAAUGUCAGUUUUACCUAUUCAUAUGCAGCAAAAAUUUUGACUAUUUUGGAAAUAGUUAUUACCAAUAAACAAAAAUUUUAAUAUUAUGCUAUUCCAACUUAUCCAUGGCCCUUUUAUUAUUAUGAGUGUUACUGAUUAAAAAUGUGAGGCAGAAACAUGAUAUAGGUAUAUGACCUUGAUUUUAAUGCCAUACAUUUUGAAUAUAGAUUAGUCAUCUCAGCAUUUACAAAUCAGGCUGAAGUUUGACAUAUUCAUAAAACAACAAACAAGUAGAGAAUUGAUUCAUAGAAGUUGUGGGCAAUUAAUACACAUAGAAAUGAGAAAAUGAAGAAUAGGUAUUUUACUGUGAAUAAGUCUCCUACAGUAAAGUCUGAUAAAACACAUAGACAUUUUGUGUAGAGAUGUUUUUUGUUUCUUACUUUCUUUCUUUUUUUUUUUUUUUUUGCUAUAUACUAGAUCUGAGAUUAUUAUUCCUGCAGGAAAAUUUAUAACCUACCUUCAACAAAAGUAAUGUCAUUCCAUAAAUUAAGUUCAAAUCAUAAUUUUCAUUCAGGCUAUGCUGUCUUUAACUGGUAAACUCCUGGCAGCCUCUGAGGAGUCUGCAGUGCUGCUGCCACAUUGCUUUUGACUUAAAGGAAAUAGCCAUGAAUCACUUUUAUUGAUGAUCAUGGUUGUGUAGCAUCUCUAUAGCUGCUGCCUUCAUAAAUGAGGGACAAAAGAGGGUACAUGUUUUGUGUCUUUUUAUCUUCUGCUAUUCAUGAAACUGAGUGAGAGGAAAGAGAACAACUGGAGUGAUUCUGUGCCCAAGACAAUUGGUCUUCACUCACUGUGGCCCAGGCAAGCCGUAAGGUUGGACACUCACAAGGAAACUCUUCCACUCACACGAUGUGAGGAUACCGUGACUUGGCAAAAUCACACUUCGUGCUACUUCCUGGAUACUCGACAACAGGACAACUAUGUGAAAUGAAAAGAAGAUUUAUUAACCCUGACACUUCAGUAAUGAAUCAAAAUGAAAUCAAGAGGAGUCAAACAGGGGAUGAGAAAGGAGGGGUAAAACUGGUUCCUCAUGGCAUCCUAAAUAUGGCAUGACAGGGCUUUUCCCAAAAUAAGCAAGAAAAAAACCCACUAUAUCUGUAUGUACAUUACUACCUUGUAUAUGCACAUAUGGCAAAUGGAACUCCACCUCUGAUGAAUCAAUCUCCAUUAGGUCUUUUUAGUGUAAGUCAGAAUAUUGAAGAUGCCCAUUGCUUUUUUCAGUCACUCAUCUGCAGACUGAAUGCAUAUGCAACUUUCUCUGUUGCAAUUUCACUUAAUGGAAAUGUGGAUAUCAUUUUUGGUUGCAAAAGAAAAAUUUUGUGUUCUGAAAGAGUGUAAAGGGCUGAGGUACAAAGCUGAAGUGCUGCUUUUGAUAGUGGUUAGCUUUUGGUCACUGUGCUAACAAGUAAUCAUGAGAGCACACUCUCCUAACACAGACACUGGCGAAGGAUGAAGGGUACACUCCCGCUGGGGAGACAUACUAGUAAGGUGAAACGAAAAAAGAACUAGGAAACAAAGCUGCAAGUGAGAUGUAUUACAGAAGCUUAAUGCAUUCCUGCAAGAUUCUAAACAGUAGAACUCCUUGUUUCAGUGCAUCAGUGCUUCAAGAAAUUCCUAGGCAUGUGUAAGAGUAGAAGAAACAGUUUGAAAUUAAGCACAGUGCCACUGUAUUGAAAGAAAGCACAGUAAACAGUGAGUUAAUUUGGCCACAUUGGUAUGGAAAAAUUGCCAAAGUACUACUCCAGCACAUUUUUCACAGCUCUGACUCUCCAAGGGUGUUCUGCCUCCCUUCUAACUUGCACUGCAACUCUGGGAAAUGGCUUGCUGUUUCAAAAAGUCCCUUCCAAGGUUAGAGGCUCUUGGAAGUGCAUUUAUGUUGGCUUUCUCAGUAGAAAAGUCAUGGGCUGAGUGAGCACAAAGACUACUUGUUGAUCCGCAGAUAUGGUUCCUCUGUGGCUGUGUGGAGAUGGGCUGAAGGCUGUGAGGAAGAAAACAUACACAACUUCUCCCUGUGUUAGUCUGCUUCUGCAGAUAAAAUUGUGAAAUUUAUUUUCAGUAUUUUCCAUGUGGGACUGAACUAAUCUGUGAGCAAUAACUUUGGUGACUGGAGAAGUCAUGUUCAUAAUACUACAGACGUACAUUUUUUCUGAAACUUACAUACGCUAUCACAGUCUUUACAAAACAAUUAUUUGAAAACUGUCUGAUUUUAUAAUAUUGUGAUAUAUUUAUUUUUCUUAUUCCUUGGUUCUCUGCACUGCCUCCUCCCUAUAAUUUUACCAUGAAGCUUGUGAGAAACAGCUUUUGAGAUUCUGAUGGGAGAUGAAAUUCAUUAUUUUCAAUCGCAUAUUUUCCAGUAUAAUUACUGUUUUUUAUUUGUUUUUAAUACAGAUGCUUUCAUGCAGCUAACUCAUAUUUUCAUUUUCGUACACCACAUAUGUUAACAAGGUCUGCAUAUUUGUGGAUAGUAGCUUAUUUAUUUUUGAGCUCAGUCUGGUCAGUUCAUUUUUUUGUUGUUGUUGUUGGUAGAAUGAUUUUAUAAUUAUCUAUCUUACAAUGGAUGUACAAUUAAUUAUCUUGGCUUUAAUGAAUACAGAAGAUGUAUAAAGUUCUUUGACAAUCAAUAUUACAAUUACUGUUACAGUUUGAAUGAAAAUACUUAGAAAUGAACAGAACAAGAAAUAAAAAAUCGAAGCUGAAUAGUAGGUAACUUUGAAUACUGUGUUAAUUCAUCUCUGUUACAGCCACUGAGCACAGUGCAGUUUUCAAUACACUGUGAUUUUUAUAUUCCCUUGACAUACAAGUUGCCUACAGUAUGUUCUCAUUUGUCAUUAAGUAUCCAUAUUUUCCUAACACGUUAUUGUAUUCA
This is a long non-coding RNA of Gallus gallus (chicken), 5082 nucleotides long. The record is from Ensembl. Lineage: Eukaryota; Metazoa; Chordata; Aves; Galliformes; Phasianidae.